RNAcentral lists this transfer RNA (63 nucleotides) under Corydalus sp. 2 YLJ-2021a. RNAcentral's name for it is "tRNA-Phe". The record is from RNAcentral. Lineage: Eukaryota; Metazoa; Arthropoda; Insecta; Megaloptera; Corydalidae.
AUUUAAAUAGCUUAAUAAGAGCACAACAUUGAAGUUGUUGGGGUGAUUUUGAAUCUUUAAAUA